This 87-nucleotide transfer RNA is filed under the name Planctomycetota bacterium. RNAcentral's name for it is "Planctomycetes bacterium tRNA-Leu". It matches the Rfam family "tRNA". Rfam says of the family: Transfer RNA (tRNA) molecules are approximately 80 nucleotides in length. Their secondary structure includes four short double-helical elements and three loops (D, anti-codon, and T loops). Further hydrogen bonds mediate the characteristic L-shaped molecular structure. tRNAs have two regions of fundamental functional importance: the anti-codon, which is responsible for specific mRNA codon recognition, and the 3' end, to which the tRNAs corresponding amino acid is attached (by aminoacyl-tRNA synthetases). tRNAs cope with the degeneracy of the genetic code in two manners: having more than one tRNA (with a specific anti-codon) for a particular amino acid; and 'wobble' base-pairing, i.e. permitting non-standard base-pairing at the 3rd anti-codon position. The record is from RNAcentral. Lineage: Bacteria; Pseudomonadati; Planctomycetota.
GCCGAGGUGGCGGAACUGGCAGACGCGGGGGACUUAAAAUCCCCUGGCCGCAAGGCUGUGUGGGUUCAAGUCCCACCCUCGGCACCA